RNAcentral lists this small RNA (1513 nucleotides) under uncultured bacterium. Its description in RNAcentral is "bacterial SSU rRNA". The stretch from base 1 to 487 matches the Rfam family "Bacterial small subunit ribosomal RNA", at positions 1045 to 1533 of the family's 1533-position model. The record is from RNAcentral.
AUGGCUGUCGUCAGCUCGUGUCGUGAGAUGUUGGGUUAAGUCCCGCAACGAGCGCAACCCCCGUCCUUAGUUGCCAGCGGUUCGGCCGGGCACUCUAGGGAAACUGCCGGUGACAAGCCGGAGGAAGGCGGGGAUGACGUCAAGUCCUCAUGGCCCUUAUAGGCUGGGCUACACACGUGCUACAAUGGCGGUGACAAUGGGCGGCGACCCCGCGAGGGUGAGCUAAUCCCCAAAAACCGUCUCAGUUCGGAUUGUACUCUGCAACUCGAGUGCAUGAAGUUGGAAUCGCUAGUAAUCGUGGAUCAGCAUGCCACGGUGAAUACGUUCCCGGGCCUUGUACACACCGCCCGUCACACCAUGGGAGUUGGUUUUACCCGAAGCCGGUGCGCUAACCGCAAGGAGGCAGCCGACCACGGUAAGGUCAGCGACUGGGGUGAAGUCGUAACAAGGUAGCCGUAGGGGAACCUGCGGCUGGAUCACCUCCUUUCUAAGGAUGCUUUUGGUAGAUUUGUAACAAUCAUGUCGCAAUUCUCUAAUCGCGUUUCUUAACAGAAGAGCUCUUGAUGUCAGCUUUGGAUCGCUGAUAUUAGGAGGAUAAACACGGCAGAGCGUCGGUUGACGCCGUCCACGCAUCCCUUCCGCAGUCGAUAUAACAGCCCGAACCCUAGAGUUAUUAGUUGGGGCGCUGGUUCACGUUAAGUUCACUAAAGUGGAUUAACGCAAUCAGAGCCCUGUGUUCGGGCGUUUGGUCUGGGCGUCUUCAGGCAUUUCCUGUUGAGGCGCUUGAUUUUAGCCGCUUGAAUUAAAGAUCGGGGCCGUAGCUCAGCUGGGAGAGCGCCUGCUUUGCAAGCAGGGGGUCACCGGUUCGAACCCGGUCGGCUCCACCAAGUUCAGGAAUUAGUUGUCAGGUAUCAGAUAACAGAGACCGGAGUUGGUGGGGUGUAUUAAGCUGGGUUCUUCUUUCUGAUCCUUGACCGCUGAUACCUGAUCUCUGAAAUGGGCCUGUAGCUCAGUUGGUUAGAGCGCGCGCUUGAUAAGCGUGAGGUCGGAAGUUCAAGUCUUCCCAGGCCCACCAAUUUUACGACCUAGGAAAGUGAAAUACUUCUUCCUAGGGUCGUGUUGGUACUAAUGUUAACGCAAAGUUACUGAUUAAAAAUAAUUUUGUAUUGUUGUUAAAUCGAGCUUGGAAGUAAGAAUUUUUGCUGGUGCAAGUUGCGUCAGUGGGAUGUGUUUUUUGACAUGGUGAAGAGGUGAUGACUAAGAAUACCUAGUCUAGUUUAUAAUAAUUGACAUAAUCUAGCUAAUAUUUUUGGGAACAAAUUAAAGCAUCUUUAACAUGGAUGAUGUUGGUUUUUGACCGAUGUUUAUCCGUGUGUGAGUUGAUCAAGCGUCAUAAGGGCAUUUGGUGGAUGCCUUGGUUCCAAGAGGCGAUGAAGGACGUGACACGCUGCGAAAAGCUGUGGGGAGCUGCGAGUAAGCUUUGAUCCGCGGAUAUCCGAAUGGGGAAACCCGG